AUGGUCAGGUGGUCUGAGAUCUGCAAACCUCGCGACCAGGGCGGACUCGGGAUCAUGUCCUCCAAACGCAUGAACAUUGCCCUUCUGACUCGGUGGCUCUGGAGGAUUGCCAACGGAGAUGGUGGCAUGUGGCUUCACAUCAUUCAGCAGAAAUACCUCCGCGUCCAGCCCCUCGCCUUCUGCCAGCGAUCUGGGGGCUCCCAGUUCUGGCAAUCCAUCAUUCAGCUCCUCCCUGUCCUCCGGAUCGGGACCUCGAUCGAGAUUGGUUCCGGCACCGCCACGCUGUUAUGGUUCGAUUGA
Molecule: ribosomal RNA, 300 nt
Filed under: Triticum aestivum (bread wheat)
Lineage: Eukaryota; Viridiplantae; Streptophyta; Magnoliopsida; Poales; Poaceae
Description: partial small subunit ribosomal RNA
Source: RNAcentral